Non-coding RNA from Ataeniobius toweri, 95 nucleotides. Lineage: Eukaryota; Metazoa; Chordata; Actinopteri; Cyprinodontiformes; Goodeidae. The record is from the annotation of a GenBank genome assembly.
GCGCUGGUGGUGUAGGGGUUAAAAGCACGCCACCAUGCGCAGAGGCUAUAGUCCUUGAUGUGUCUGUCCCGGGUUCGAGUACCGGCCCCAGUGCC